RNAcentral lists this ribosomal RNA (460 nucleotides) under uncultured bacterium. RNAcentral describes it as "partial 16S ribosomal RNA". It matches the Rfam family "Bacterial small subunit ribosomal RNA", at positions 338 to 795 of the family's 1533-position model. The record is from RNAcentral.
CCUACGGGAGGCAGCAGUGAGGAAUAUUGGUCAAUGGACGAGAGUCUGAACCAGCCAAGUAGCGUGAAGGAUGACUGCCCUAUGGGUUGUAAACUUCUUUUAUAUGGGAAUAAAAUGUUCCACGUGUGGGAUUUUGUAUGUACCAUAUGAAUAAGGAUCGGCUAACUCCGUGCCAGCAGCCGCGGUAAUACGGAGGAUCCGAGCGUUAUCCGGAUUGAUUGGGUGUAAAGGGAGCGUAGGUGGAUUGUUAAGUCAGUUGUGAAAGUUUGCGGCUCAACCGUAAAAUUGCAGUUGAAACUGGCAGUCUUGAGUACAGUAGAGGUGGGCGGAAUUCGUGGUGUAGCGGUGAAAUGCUUAGAUAUCACGAAGAACUCCGAUUGCGAAGGCAGCUCACUGGACUGCAACUGACACUGAGGCUCGAAAGUGUGGGUAUCAAACAGGAUUAGAUACCCGUGUAGUC